RNAcentral lists this long non-coding RNA (562 nucleotides) under Macaca nemestrina (pig-tailed macaque). RNAcentral describes it as "lncRNA (ENSMNEG00000046179.1)". Lineage: Eukaryota; Metazoa; Chordata; Mammalia; Primates; Cercopithecidae. The record is from RNAcentral.
CAUCCCUCUGUGCACGAGGCCCCCUGAUAGCUCCUUGCAGGUUCAAUUUCCUCUUCUUAUAAGAACAGCAGGCAGAUUGGAGUAGGGCUCACCCUAAUGGUCUCUUUAAACUUAAUCGCCUCUUUAGAAAUCCAUUCUCUAAAUACAGUCACAUUCUGAGGUGUUACGGGUUAGGGCUCCAACAUACGAGUUUUGGGGAAGCACACUGCCGCCCAUACAAGAAGUCUUCUCAAAAUGGACGCUCCCUCAUCGCCUCACACAGCUCUCCAAGAGGCAGCUGACCCUAUGGACCCAACCGCCUCUCCGAAGAGUAGCUGCGCCCUUGGUAAAGGAGGAAAUGGAAAAGGAGAAACUCAGUGAUCUCAGACAGACUGAAGCCAAGAAAUAGAUUUGAAAAGUUCCAGAAAUUCUCUCACUUUGGAGACGCCCCCACACACACUGCACCCUGCCACCUUUAAAAACCCCUGCUUGGAAGCCAUCAGGGAGUUCGGGUCUUAAGCGAUAGCUGCUCAUUCUCCUUGGCUCUGCUCACUGCAAUAAAUGUCUCACUUUCUCUCACUGC